AGCAGAUGGUGAUUAUUUUCUUUCUAUGCAUGGUCGCAUCACGGUGGUGAGGGCAUCGCGUGGGGAUGCAUGAGGCGGAGGGGGCAAGGCAAGGCUAGGAGGAGCUGAACGAGAAACGACGUCUUUGGGUCACCGACAGGGUGCAAACAACAAAUGCAAAUCUGUAUGCUCAAAUUACAGUUGUAAAUUAUUGCCUUGUUGGGAGAAAGUUUACGUUACGUGGGUUGGGAGUAGCUGUUGGUACCUGUGAGAGCGCAACGCAUGUCUGAGGCAUUAGGUGUUGUAUGUAAAAGCAAGCUGGUAAUUUUUCGCUGUUUCUCAUCAGUUGAAAAUUUUGGAAAUAUCAUGUGUUGAUGCUGUGCUGUCUGAAGAGUUCUGUCCCUUUUUACUGUUUACUUGGGUUGUUUCAUGUCAUGGCAACUUGUUCUGAGACGCUUUUUAUAGUUGCUGCACACCAAGUGACUUCAAAAGCACUUGACCCAGAGCCAGAGCCAGAGCCAUACUUGAUUUUUAUAUGGUGUUUGUUACUAGGAGCAUUAUUAUCUACUCCCUCCGUUCCUAAAUAUGAGUGUUUUUAGACAUUUCAAAUGGACAUUAACAUACGGAUGUAUGUAGACAUAUUUUAAAGUGUAGAUUCACUCAUUUUGUUUUGUAUGUAGUCACUUGUUGAAAUCUCUAGAAAGACUUAUAUUUAGGAACGGAGGGAGUAGUAUGUAUGUAUGUACCAGACCCAGAGCCAUACCUGAUUUUUAUACGGUCAUCAGUCCCGUGGGCUGCUGCUACCGAAAUCCUUUCUUUACAAUCUCUCUAGAGUUUACAACUUCGAACAACACAGAAAGGGAUUCAAAAUAUUAUACAACCCAACAAGUAAAUAAACGUACUGAAAGCUGAUACAUGCACACACAAACACAACGCUUUAGUUUAAAAGAAAGAAAAAGCGAGACACUUUGCACAAGCAUCAGGUUCUUCGCAGGUUUUUCUUUUUUUGGAACAUUUUUUAAUUUUGUGAAUCUCUUUUUACCGUUCAUGAAUAUUUUUUAAAUUCAUGAACAUUUCUUAAAAUUCACAAACAUUUUUUUGAAUCCACAAACAAUUUAUGAUUUCCCGAACAGUUGUCAGAAUCAUGAACAAUUUUUUAAUUCAGAAACAUUUGUAAAUAUCUUGUUUUUUUUUCAAAAUUCAAAAUUGUUUUGAAAUUUGGAACUUUUUAGCCCCUAAUUAUUUUAAAAUCAUAUCUGAAAAUAGAAAAAGGAUUUUUUUAAAGAAAGUAGGAAAAAACCAAAAAUAAAACCACACACAGAAAAAUAAAAAUAAAAGCCAAAGCGAAAAAAUGGAACAAAAAAUCCCCAAAAGAAAACAUAUCUACCGAAUGGGCCGGCCCAUUUGGCUGCGGCUUGAGAGAAGCCUCCCCUGGAAAAUAGGGUUGGCCAGUCCUAGCGACCCAAUGGGUCGAGGCCUGAUCCGCGCUACAAUGUACGCCCCGGAUUGGAGUAAGUUAUUGGCUGCCUUUACUAAGGGCAUGUACAAUGAUUGAUAAGACAGCAUUCUCAAGGACCGAACCUAGUGCAUUUCGAUUCGCUUUUCCUAACAUUCCUCUUCUUGAUCCGGUUGAGUAUGCCAUUGGUAGUUCCUUGGUUGAUUCGUCUCCGUGCAUUCACCGCUCGGAAUUCGACGAGGGAGAAUAUCCCGUGAGAUGGUGCAUUUGAUGUGAACCCUAUUUUCUUGCUUUGGGUGGUGACGGCCUAUGUUCUCAAGGACCGAACCUAGUGCGUUUCGAUUUUAUUUUCCUAACAUUCCUCUGCUUGAUCCGGUUGAGUAUGCCAUUGUUAGUUCCUUGGUUGAUUCGUCUCCGUGCAUUUCACCGCUCAGAAUUCGAUGAGGGAGAAUAUCCCGUGAGAUGGUGCAUUUGAUGUGAACCCUAUUUUCUUGCUUUGUGCCAUAGAUGUGACAUUGUUGGUUGAUAGUGUGUUAAUGUACUUCACUGAUACUGUCUCCGUUUAUAAGAAUCACCACUUGCUUAUCCUGGUCACAAAAAAUGAUUGGGCCAUCUCUGUAUUUAGUUUAACUUGUUUUACUUAUUUAGUUGCAACUAUCUAAACCGUAAACACACUGCUAUCAAUUUAUUCAGUGUUUUCACCUUAUUACUUCAUAUUUUUCAUGCACCAAUUCAUCAUACUACUCAUUGGGUAUAACAAUGUUACUUAUCAAAAGGGCUACAAAUGACCCCCCUACACUUGUGAUGUCAUGCAUCAACAAUAUCUUUUGUUUCUCUGUAGUAUUUUGCUUGGCAUUCAUGCUUAAAGCAAUCAAUUUUUGUAAUUAUAAGAUAGAUCAUUUAUUUUUAAAAAAUUAUAUCCAUGCCAAAAAUAGAAAACAUACAUUUUAGAACUAAAUGACAAGACAAAACAUAGUGAAAACCAAGAAAACUUUUUGGCAAUGAUUCAAAAGGACAAAGAACACAGAGAGAACAAAAUAUUUACAUAUAUUCAUAGUAAAAAAUGCAAUAAGUUUCAACAACAUUGUAAAAUUUUGGUGAAUGUUCUAAUAUCUUUGAGUCUGCAUUUGCACAAUUAUCACACUCCCAUACCAAAAAACCACCAUACAUGAAAAAAUCCAGAGAAACAGAUUAUAUGAGGUCAGUUCUUUGCCAUUUAUAUUUUUGUGUCAUUAUCUUAGUAAAACAAAUGGUACUUAGUAUUAAUAAAUCAAGAUAUUUCUAUAUUUUAUUGGGGUUAUGUAGCAAAAGAUUCACCAAUCUUUAUAAGUAUUUUAACUACAAGGUAUGUCAAAUGGAUAAUUUAACAAACUUUUAUACUAAAUACUUAUACUUAUUUUUAUUUAUUUUGAUCAACAUAUUGCUUAGUUAGCACAAAUAAACCAUAUAGUAAUGUCAAAAGAUUUUUAAAUAUAGUAAUGUUUAUUAUAAAGUUGCAAUAAUAUAAUUGAAAAUUAUAGUUGUGAUGUGCUAAGAUAAAAUAUUAUUUUUUAUAUCAAAAUUUACAUUGUGUUUUAAAAUAUCUUUAGUUGAACCCACUAAAACAUGAAAAAAA
This 3050-nucleotide long non-coding RNA is filed under the name Triticum aestivum (bread wheat). RNAcentral's name for it is "long non-coding RNA (TAES_LNC021603)". Lineage: Eukaryota; Viridiplantae; Streptophyta; Magnoliopsida; Poales; Poaceae. The record is from RNAcentral.